RNAcentral lists this ribosomal RNA (206 nucleotides) under uncultured bacterium. Its description in RNAcentral is "partial 16S ribosomal RNA". It matches the Rfam family "Bacterial small subunit ribosomal RNA", at positions 570 to 774 of the family's 1533-position model. The record is from RNAcentral.
UGUAGGUGGCUCAUUAAGUCACAUGUGAAAUCCCCGGGCUUAACCUGGGAACUGCAUGUGAUACUGGUGGUGCUAGAAUAUGUGAGAGGGAAGUAGAAUUCCAGGUGUAGCGGUGAAAUGCGUAGAGAUCUGGAGGAAUACCGAUGGCGAAGGCAGCUUCCUGGCAUAAUAUUGACACUGAGAUUCGAAAGCGUGGGUAGCGAACA